RNAcentral lists this ribosomal RNA (468 nucleotides) under uncultured bacterium. RNAcentral's name for it is "partial 16S ribosomal RNA". It matches the Rfam family "Bacterial small subunit ribosomal RNA", at positions 28 to 507 of the family's 1533-position model. The record is from RNAcentral.
GAUGAACGCUGGCGGCGUGCUUAAUACAUGCAAGUCGAACGGAAAGACCCUGCUUUUGUUGGGUGCUCGAUUGGCGAACGCGUGAGUAUAACAUGAGUAACCCGUCCCUAUCUUUGUGAUAAAUCUAGGAAAAUCGGGCUAAUACCGGGUAUGAUCUCCUGCUCCACGGUGGGCGUUGGUAAAUUUCGGCGGUUGGGGCUCGGUUGGCAGCUUAUGCGCCUGAUGGUGAGGUAGUGGCGUACCAAGGUUUCGACGGGUAGCCGGCCUGGGAGGUGGACCGGCCACCAUGGGACUGCGAUACGGCGCAGACUCGUAUGGGAGGCAGUGGGCGGGAAUAUUACACAGUGGCCGGAAGCCAGAUGCGACAGCGCCGCGUGCGGGAUGACGUGCUUCGGGUUGUAAACCGCUGUGGCCUGUGACAUAGCGUGAUUGACGGUAAUGGGUAAGGAAGCACCGGCUAACUACGUG